UACGAAGGGGGCGAGCGUUGUUCGGAAUUACUGGGCGUAAAGGGCGCGUAGGCGGCCCCUUUUGUCGCGUGUGAAGGCCCCGGGCUCAACCUGGGAGGUGCGCGCGAAACGGGGGGGCUUGAGUUCGGGAGAGGAGAGUGGAAUUCCCAGUGUAGAGGUGAAAUUCGUAGAUAUUGGGAAGAACACCAGUGGCGAAGGCGGCUCACUGGCUCGUAACUGACGCUCAGGCGCGACAGCGUGGGGAUCAAACAGG
RNAcentral lists this ribosomal RNA (253 nucleotides) under uncultured bacterium. Its description in RNAcentral is "partial 16S ribosomal RNA". It matches the Rfam family "Bacterial small subunit ribosomal RNA", at positions 524 to 776 of the family's 1533-position model. The record is from RNAcentral.